AUUUUCCGCAAUGGGCGAAAGCCUGACGGAGCAAUACCGCGUGAGGGAGGAAGGCUCUUGGGUUGUAAACCUCUUUUCUCAGGGAAGAACAAAAUGACGGUACCUGAGGAAUCAGCAUCGGCUAUCUCCGUGCCAGCAGCCGCGGUAAUACGGAGGAUGCAAGCGUUAUCCGGAAUGAUUGGGCGUAAAGCGUCCGCAGGUGGCUGUGUAAGUCUGCUGUCAAAGAGCGAAGCUCAACUUCGUAAAGGCAGUGGAAACUACACGGCUAGAGUGCGUUCGGGGCAGAGGGAAUUCCUGGUGUAGCGGUGAAAUGCGUAGAGAUCAGGAAGAACACCGGUGGCGAAGGCGCUCUGCUAGGCCGCAACUGACACUGAGGGACGAAAGCUAGGGGAGCGAAUG
RNAcentral lists this ribosomal RNA (399 nucleotides) under uncultured bacterium. Its description in RNAcentral is "bacterial SSU rRNA". It matches the Rfam family "Bacterial small subunit ribosomal RNA", at positions 361 to 774 of the family's 1533-position model. The record is from RNAcentral.